RNAcentral lists this long non-coding RNA (2125 nucleotides) under Lynx pardinus (Iberian lynx). Lineage: Eukaryota; Metazoa; Chordata; Mammalia; Carnivora; Felidae. The record is from RNAcentral.
CAGGAGGGCGGCCGCAAGGCGGGGUGUCGGCCCUGGCUCAGGGGAAGGUAGCUGCCAGACGUGGUGCGGAGGGUCGCGCAGUGGGUCGUAGCGUCGCGCAGUGGGUCGUAGCGUUGAGAGCGGCAUGAGAGCGUAGCCUCGGGGGAGCAGUUAGUCCAGUCUCUUCUGCUAGAGAAGGAGGGACCGAAGCCCAGAGAGAGUCCACGAUUUGCCCCAGAGCGAGGGUCAGGCCCUUGUCUGUGUGCUCACGCUUCCCUUUCGAGCACGAAGCGCCGUACCUGGCACAGAACUGGCGCCCAAACGUCUGUUAAGUGGCAUUUCGUUGUAAGAACAGGCAGCUGAAACUCUUUUAACAAAUUACAAGAUUAAAAAAUAAUUUUUUUAAAAAAAGAGGGAAGUGGACCUAUAGAUGAGACUCAUCAGCCAAAUGCAACCUCUAAACUUUAUUCGGAUCAUGGGUCUAACAACCAAUUGUGCAAUUUUUAAAAAUCCGGGAAAUGUGAACAUUGAUGGGCGAUAUGAGUCACUGUUUAAAAAGUUCAGCUGUUAGGGUUAUGCUUUAAAAAGGAAAAGUGUCUUAGAGACACAUACUGCAGAUUUUACGAGUUAAAUGAUGUCUGAGAUUCGCUUGAAAGAUACCCAGUGUGGCCAGCGAGGGUAGACAAGAAUGGCAGAAAAUAAAGAGCUAUGAAAACUGGGUGAGGGAUACUAGAGAGGGUGUCGUACUGUUUUAUUCUCUGUAGUGAUAUUGAAAAGGACCAUAAUCGAGGGGUUUUAUUUAAUUCUACUGUGUUUCAGAAAGUUUCUUAAAUAAGACGCUCAGGGAGAGUUUGUCUGAAACGAACCCUCCCACGGCACAAGUGAGCCUCCCUGGGGACUUCUCCAGUCAAGAAUGACCACAGCAGUGACGGGGGGCUGUGUCCCAGUGCCUCGGGAUCCUUCAGAAGCAGGACAGGAUUCUGACCUUGAAGGUGGAAAGCAGAGGACCACUCGUAGGGGAAAGACUAUGCUGCCAGGUAAUCAGCCUCCCAGCCAGGAGCUGGCCUGUCCGCACUUCAGAGAGUUCUAGACCCGGGAGGCUUGGGACCCCACCCGAUUCUGCGAUGGCUCUAGGAGCCCCCACCGGUGACUGAGGACACAGGGACAGUCUGCAAGUUGCCCAUCCUGGAGCUGCUGGUGCUUGAGCAGCUCUUGGCCAUUCUGCCCAGAGGCAGUAGGGCUGGGGCGGGGAGGGCACUCCUGGGCGACCAAGAGGAGGUGGGAGUCGUGUGGAGGGUUCCAGUGAGAAAAUGACCCAGGCCAGCAGGUAGACGAGAGAACUAACUUCUGAAGAUAGGGAGGGGUAGGUCUUCCAAAAGAAAAUGAAGGCCACGUCUGUUUUGACCCUACACCGUGUCUCUGUGUUCCUCUUCUCUCUUCCUGGUACCUUUGAGGAUCAAGUUCAAUCACUUGAUGGAAUGAAAAACAUAGGAUCAUUUCCUAGGUUUGUUUGUUUGUUUUUCCUGACAUUCUGAUUCUCAUUCUUACCAAGAUGUGCAUCGUCUAAGUCAUUAUUUAAACCACUGAAAUUCGAAUCAUUCUCUAUGGAGACUAAAAGACAUAUUCUUCUAUCACAACACACAGUCACGUGCAUGUUUCACAUUUCUGGCUGAGCUGCCCAAUCCCAGAGCUCCUUAGCCGCUGUGUUCUUGAAACUUCAAAGGAAGGACUUCACCGUAUCCCUUCUGUAUACCUUCUUGCUGAAAGGCCAGCAAAGACUUUUUUUAGAAAACUUGUUAUCUCUGGAGACAACUAAAUGCAAAGUUUGGAAAAUUCUCCAGCUCAGCAGACGCCUUGGCUUCACCCUCGUAAGAAACCCUGAGUGAGAACUGCUCAGCUCAACUAGAAGCCACUGGAGAGAAGUUAGGUUGGAUUCAGAAAAACUGGAACUUCUGGGGGGCGCCUGGGGGGCUCAGUCAGUUAAGUAUCCGACUUUGGCUCAGGUCAUGGUCUUGCAGUUCAUGAGUUUGAGCCCGAUGUCGGGCUCCGUGCUGCCAGCUUGGAGCCUGGAGCCUGCUUCAGAUUCUGUGUCUCCCUCUCUCUCCCCCUACCCCACUCAUGCUCUGUAUGUGUGUGUGUCUCUCUC